AGUGAACGCUGGCGGUAGGCCUAACACAUGCAAGUCGAACGGCAGCACAGUAAGAGCUUGCUCUUACGGGUGGCGAGUGGCGGACGGGUGAGGAAUACAUCGGAAUCUACUUUUUCGUGGGGGAUAACGUAGGGAAACUUACGCUAAUACCGCAUACGACCUACGGGUGAAAGCAGGGGAUCUUCGGACCUUGCGCGAUUGAAUGAGCCGAUGUCGGAUUAGCUAGUUGGCGGGGUAAAGGCCCACCAAGGCGACGAUCCGUAGCUGGUCUGAGAGGAUGGUCAGCCACACUGGAACUGAGACACGGUCCAGACUCCUACGGGAGGCAGCAGUGGGGAAUAUUGGACAAUGGGCGGAAGCCUGAUCCAGCCAUACCGCGUGGGUGAAGAAGGCCUUCGGGUUGUAAAGCCCUUUUGUUGGGAAAGAAAAGCAGCAGGUUAAUACCCCGCUGUUCUGACGGUACCCAAAGAAUAAGCACCGGCUAACUUCGU
This 491-nucleotide ribosomal RNA is filed under the name uncultured bacterium. Its description in RNAcentral is "partial 16S ribosomal RNA". It matches the Rfam family "Bacterial small subunit ribosomal RNA", at positions 29 to 506 of the family's 1533-position model. The record is from RNAcentral.